GAACAUGGUGGUGUGGGCAUUUGUGCAAAAGGUCCCUGAAGCGCUCCCAUGUCUCGAAAAACCUUUCCCCGUCCAAUUGUGAGAAACUAGUGAUGUUGACUUUAUAGGCC
Molecule: small nucleolar RNA, 110 nt
Organism: Malania oleifera
Lineage: Eukaryota; Viridiplantae; Streptophyta; Magnoliopsida; Santalales; Ximeniaceae
Source: RefSeq, a predicted model, not a curated record